CCCUUAGAUGUUCUGGGCCGCACGCGCGCUACACUGACGAAGUCGGCGAGCAUGUCCUACGCCGACAGGUGCGGGGAAUCUUGUCAAACUUCGUCGUGAUGGGGAUUGAUUAUUGAAAUUCUUGAUCAUCAACGAGGAAUUCCUAGUAAGCGCAAGUCAGCAGCUUGCGUUGAUUACGUCCCUGCCCUUUGUACACACCGCCCGUCGCUACUACCGAUUGAAUGGUUUAGUGAGAUCUUCGGAUUGGCGCCACUGCGGCUCAGCAAUGGGCUCGGUGGAUGCCGAAAAGUUGAUCAAACUUGAUCAUUUAGAGGAAGUAAAAGUCGUAACA
RNAcentral lists this ribosomal RNA (331 nucleotides) under uncultured eukaryote. Its description in RNAcentral is "partial 18S ribosomal RNA". It matches the Rfam family "Eukaryotic small subunit ribosomal RNA", at positions 1470 to 1796 of the family's 1831-position model. The record is from RNAcentral.